UACGGGGGGGGCAAGCGUUGUUCGGAAUUACUGGCGUAAAGGGCUCGUAGGCGGCCAACUAAGUCGGAUGUGAAAUCCCCAGGCUCAACCUGGGAACUGCAUCCGAUACUGGAUGGCUUGAAUUCGGGAGAGGGAUGCAGAAUUCCAGGUGUAGCGGUGAAAUGCGUAGAUAUCUGGAGGAAUACCGGUGGCGAAGGCGGCAUCCUGGACCGACAUUGACGCUGAGGAGCGAAAGCCAGGGGAGCAAACGGG
This 252-nucleotide ribosomal RNA is filed under the name uncultured bacterium. RNAcentral's name for it is "partial 16S ribosomal RNA". It matches the Rfam family "Bacterial small subunit ribosomal RNA", at positions 524 to 776 of the family's 1533-position model. The record is from RNAcentral.